RNAcentral lists this ribosomal RNA (484 nucleotides) under uncultured bacterium. Its description in RNAcentral is "partial 16S ribosomal RNA". It matches the Rfam family "Bacterial small subunit ribosomal RNA", at positions 29 to 507 of the family's 1533-position model. The record is from RNAcentral.
AUUGAACGCUGGCGGCAUGCUUUACACAUGCAAGUCGAACGGCAGCGCGGGCUUCGGCCUGGCGGCGAGUGGCGAACGGGUGAGUAAUACAUCGGAACGUGCCCAGUAGUGGGGGAUAGCUCGGCGAAAGCCGGAUUAAUACCGCAUACGACCUGAGGGUGAAAGCGGGGGAUCUUCGGACCUCGCGCUAUUUGAGCGGCCGAUGGCGGAUUAGCUAGUUGGUGGGGUAAAGGCCUACCAAGGCGACGAUCUGUAGCUGGUCUGAGAGGACGACCAGCCACACUGGGACUGAGACACGGCCCAGACUCCUACGGGAGGCAGCAGUGGGGAAUUUUGGACAAUGGGCGAAAGCCUGAUCCAGCAAUGCCGCGUGUGUGAUGAAGGCCUUCGGGUUGUAAAGCACUUUUGGCGGGAACGAAAAGGACUGUGCCAAUACCACGGUUCGAUGACGGUACCCGCAGAAUAAGCACCGGCUAACUACGUG